This 697-nucleotide ribosomal RNA is filed under the name uncultured bacterium. RNAcentral describes it as "bacterial SSU rRNA". It matches the Rfam family "Bacterial small subunit ribosomal RNA", at positions 111 to 823 of the family's 1533-position model. The record is from RNAcentral.
UAACGCGUGGAUAACCUGCCGUAUACCGGGGGAUAACACUUAGAAAUAGGUGCUAAUACCGCAUAAGCGCACGGCUCCGCAUGGGGCAGUGUGAAAAACUCCGGUGGUAUACGAUGGAUCCGCGUCUGAUUAGCUAGUUGGCGGGGUAACGGCCCACCAAGGCAGCGAUCAGUAGCCGGCCUGAGAGGGUGGACGGCCACAUUGGGACUGAGACACGGCCCAAACUCCUACGGGAGGCAGCAGUGGGGAAUAUUGCACAAUGGGGGAAACCCUGAUGCAGCGACGCCGCGUGAGUGAAGAAGUAUCUCGGUAUGUAAAGCUCUAUCAGCAGGGAAGAAAGAAAUGACGGUACCUGAGUAAGAAGCCCCGGCUAACUACGUGCCAGCAGCCGCGGUAAUACGUAGGGGGCAAGCGUUAUCCGGAAUUACUGGGUGUAAAGGGAGCGUAGACGGUAAUGCAAGUCUGGAGUGAAAGGCGGGGGCCCAACCCCCGGACUGCUCUGGAAACUGUGUAACUGGAGUGCAGGAGAGGCAGGCGGAAUUCCUAGUGUAGCGGUGAAAUGCGUAGAUAUUAGGAGGAACACCAGUGGCGAAGGCGGCCUGCUGGACUGUAACUGACGUUGAGGCUCGAAAGCGUGGGGAGCAAACAGGAUUAGAUACCCUGGUAGUCCACGCCGUAAACGAUGAUUACUAGGUGU